CACACAGUAAACGAUGAAUACUCGCUGUUUGCGAUAUACAGUAAGCGGCCAAGCGAAAGCAUUAAGUAUUCCACCUGGGGAGUACGCCGGCAACGGUGAAACUCAAAGGAAUUGACGGGGGCCCGCACAAGCGGUGGAGCAUGUGGUUUAAUUCGAAGCAACGCGAAGAACCUUACCAGGUCUUGACAUCCCGAUGACCGCUCUAGAGAUAGAGUUUUCCCUUCGGGGACAUUGGUGACAGGUGG
Molecule: ribosomal RNA, 245 nt
Filed under: uncultured bacterium
Lineage: Bacteria
Description: partial 16S ribosomal RNA
Rfam family: Bacterial small subunit ribosomal RNA
Source: RNAcentral